This 834-nucleotide long non-coding RNA is filed under the name Sus scrofa (pig). RNAcentral describes it as "lncRNA (ENSSSCG00070028852.1)". Lineage: Eukaryota; Metazoa; Chordata; Mammalia; Artiodactyla; Suidae. The record is from RNAcentral.
CUUCCACCAAUCAUUUGGUUAUGGAACAUUCUAAAACUUAGGCAAGACGAUUGUGAUUGGCUAGAGGGCGUAAGCCCGCCUCCAGGGUGACGUGUCUGCCUAUGGAUAUCAGUUGCCAGAGAAACCUGGCUUUACUAUGGCGGUUGGAGGGUCGGCAGUGAUCACACGUCGGCUGCUGGAAAGAACUGGAUUCUCGUUUCAGGCUACCAUCAAAAAAGCUAAGUUUGCUGUAUAGUAAGGAUCAGAAGAUCUGAUCCUGAUUGCAGAACAUUGCUGAUUACAGAAUCUUGGGUUGUGUCUCCCACCUCAUCUUUCCCUACCAUCCCAGAAGAUCUAUAAGGUUCCAUCUGGGAAAACACUAGAAGUUCUUGGAAGGGAAAGAAGGAAGAGGAUUACGUUUUUUUCCAGAAUUCUAUGCUUGGUUCAUCACUGGCUUUAUCUCUCACCAAUUUAUCACCUCCUCCAACAAGCUACUGCUGAAAGUGGUGUUAGGUACCAUUUCUUGUUUUCUAUCCCCAAAUAUUCUGUGCCCAUAACUAUCACUGUACUAACCUUGUUUUAUAGUUGUCACUUUGGAUAUUUGAAUCCCUAGCGCCUAACAUGGUACCUGUCCUGAAGCUAAUAAGCAGUAAUAUAUGAUGACUAACUGAGUGGAUGUAUUAACCUAUUUCCUAUUAUUUGAUUACUGAUUUCAAACUAACCAUAAAAAUUAGUGCUUUUAUUCAUAAAUUACCCAGGCUUAAAAUUGUGGAGCCACCUUUGACUCCUCCCUCUCCUUCAUUUACCAAGUUCUGAAUUCAGUUUCUUCUUACUCUGUGACAGCCUAGUUGAGGC